Molecule: non-coding RNA, 71 nt
Organism: Phrynosoma platyrhinos (Desert horned lizard)
Lineage: Eukaryota; Metazoa; Chordata; Lepidosauria; Squamata; Phrynosomatidae
Source: the annotation of a GenBank genome assembly
GCCAGCAUAGCAUAGUGGUUUGGGUGUUAGACUAGAACUUUGGAGACCAGGGUUCGAUUUCCCAUUUGACU